UCCGUUGUGGACCAGCGGAGGGAUCAUUA
Molecule: ribosomal RNA, 29 nt
Filed under: Microascus gracilis
Lineage: Eukaryota; Fungi; Ascomycota; Sordariomycetes; Microascales; Microascaceae
Description: partial 18S ribosomal RNA
Source: RNAcentral